AACGAACGCUGGCGGCAGGCUUAACACAUGCAAGUCGAGCGAGACCUUCGGGUCUAGCGGCGGACGGGUGAGUAACGCGUGGGAACGUGCCCUUCUCUACGGAAUAGCCCCGGGAAACUGGGAGUAAUACCGUAUACGCCCUUUGGGGGAAAGAUUUAUCGGAGAAGGAUCGGCCCGCGUUGGAUUAGGUAGUUGGUUGGGUAAUGGCCCACCAAGCCGACGAUCCAUAGCUUGGUUGAGAGGAUGAUCAGCCACACUGGGACUGAGACACGGCCCAGACUCCUACGGGAAGCAGCAGUGGGGAAUCUUAGACAAUGGGGGCAACCCUGAUCUAGCCAUGCCGCGUGAGUGAUGAAGGCCUUAGGGUUGUAAAGCUCUUUCAGCUGGGAAGAUAAUGACGGUACCAGCAGAAGAAGCCCCGGCUAACUCCGUG
Molecule: ribosomal RNA, 433 nt
Filed under: uncultured bacterium
Lineage: Bacteria
Description: partial 16S ribosomal RNA
Rfam family: Bacterial small subunit ribosomal RNA
Source: RNAcentral